This 496-nucleotide ribosomal RNA is filed under the name uncultured soil bacterium. RNAcentral's name for it is "bacterial SSU rRNA". It matches the Rfam family "Bacterial small subunit ribosomal RNA", at positions 26 to 523 of the family's 1533-position model. The record is from RNAcentral.
AGAUUGAACGCUGGCGGCAGGCCUAACACAUGCAAGUCGAGCGGUAGAGAGGUGCUUGCACCUCUUGAGAGCGGCGGACGGGUGAGUAAUGCCUAGGAAUCUGCCUAGUGGUGGGGGAUAACGUUCGGAAACGGACGCUAAUACCGCAUACGUCCUACGGGAGAAAGCGGGGGACCUUCGGGCCUCGCGCCAUUAGAUGAGCCUAGGUCGGAUUAGCUAGUUGGUGAGGUAAUGGCUCACCAAGGCGACGAUCCGUAACUGGUCUGAGAGGAUGAUCAGUCACACUGGAACUGAGACACGGUCCAGACUCCUACGGGAGCAGCAGUGGGGAAUAUUGGACAAUGGGCGAAAGCCUGAUCCAGCCAUGCCGCGUGUGUGAAGAAGGUCUUCGGAUUGUAAAGCACUUUAAGUGGAGAAGGUUGAACUUAAUACGUUGCAACUUUGACGUUACCGACAGAAUAAGCAACGGCUAACUUCGUGCCAGCAGCCGCGUUAA